CUCAUGGUAAGAUGUGCCGUUCGUCUCUUUUUGAGGCCAGUAAAGAAGGACAAGAGUUCUGAUGCUUCUUUGCUAUGAAGAUCAACCUCAAAAAAGCCUAUCAUUGCAUCAAGUGGGAGUUUUUGCGCCACGAAGAGCUAUCCUUGCCAAGUCGGUGUUAAAUGCCAUCCCCUUGUAUCCAAUGCAAGUCUCAAGGGUUCCAACCACAAUUUUGUAAUGAAAUUGAGAAGCUAUAAAGGAACUUUAUUUGGGGAAAUACCAACUCAAGAGGAAUCCAACCUCUUAGCUGAAACAAAACCAUUUUACCCAAGGCUUAUGGAGGACUCAUCAGUAAACAAGGCAAUACAAAGCUUGCUUGGGGACUUGGCUCAGGCAGCAAAGGGUUGUGGGCUGAUCUACUGCAGCAAAAAUAUGUGUAUAGAUUAGAAGAUGAUCUACUGAAUAUUAAGAAAGGCAAUUCGCAGCUUUGGAAAUUUAUCGUCCAACAAAAAGAUCUUGUGAAGGAGGGCACGAGAUGGCAAGUAAUAAAUGGUGAGUCGGUAAAUUUCUUUGAUGAUUUUUGUCUAUUUUCUGAUAAAAAGAUCAAGGAUAUGGUUUUAAGACCUCUAAAAGAUGAGGAAGGAAGCUCAAAAGUAGCUGAAUGGACUCGUUUUGGUUCAUGGGACUUUGUCAGACUUUCUUUUAUUGUUUCAUAUGAGGUCCUCCCUAAACUUAUCUCUGUCAUGCCCCCUUCUCCUUCUGCUAGGUAUGUUUACCUUAAAAAAAGUUAAAAAAGUGCUUACUUUAUGAUAGAAGACCCAUCACUAGAUCUGUAUAGUCCUUUAUUUAAGAAAAUCCAGAAAUGGAAAGGGGUUGAAUGAAUUCAUUUCUUCAUUUGGCUUACAGUUCACAAUAGACUGUCAUUCCAUUCAAUUGAAUUGGGAUUCUCCGGAUCUAACAUGUCUCUUAGGGGGAGUAACAUGAAGCUCAGAAUUUGGGGUGUAUUUAAGACUCCCAAAUAAAAAGGAUUACCCACUAAUGCACAGAGAAGCUCGUGGGCUAAUUGUUCUUCUUUUUGCUUUGGUGUGAUACUGAAGUGGAGGAUGUACUAAAUAUUCUCCGGGAUUGCAGUUAAGCACGAUUAUUUUGGUAUAAGCUUGUACCAAGUAAGUACUAUUCUCAUUUCUUUUCUGCUUCACUAAGUAUCUGGGUCGCUUGGAAUCUAGAAUCAAAUUGGCAUUCUAGACACUCGUCUAACCGGUAUCUGAUUUGGGGAUUGGUAUGGAAAUGAUGGAAGUUUUAUGUUUUUAAGGAUGAUACUGAGUUAAUUAAAGGUGCUUCAAGUAAUACUUGCGUAUAAACUUGGCAACCUCCUCCUCUGGACAGGGUUAAAAUAAAAACUGAUGGAGCAAUCUCUUCUUCCAUGAACAAGGCAAGGUGUGGGGGAGUUUUGAGAGAUCAUGAUGGCUCAUGGAUAGUUGGUUUCUCCCACAAUCUUGGCUGUUGCAACCCCUUUGAAGCUGAAGAACGGACUGUCUUAAGAAGCAAUAGACUAGUAUGGGAUAUAGGCUUCAAGAAUGUCAUAGUAGAGGCUGAUUCUAAGACGCUGGUAAAGCUAAUUAAUGGGUAGCAUCAAAGCCCAAUCAAAGGUAGUUUGGUCCUACUGGAAAUUUGUAACUUUAACUCUAAUUUGGAAGUUGAAGUUUAGCAUGUGUCAAGGGAGAAGAACAAAGCGGCAGAUAUGCUGGCCAAAGAGGGAAUCUCUUCUUCAAGUCUAUAUGACUUGGUGCCCCCAUUUUUUAUAGAUUUAGUACGGAAAGAGAGUCUGGGAUUUCAAUGCCCUGUUAAUGUUUAAUUUUCUAAUGUAAUCUGGGCAUUGCCCUCUCCUUUACCGAAAAAAAAAAAACAUAUUCAUUUCACGUAGGAGGAGGGAAAAAAGAAAACAUUAGAACAACACCAUAUCAACCUACAGACAAAAUCACCAUCGCUAGCUAACAAACAAAACGAUAAAGGCUGGCUAAAAAAUUUGAUGCCUUUCUUGUCUGUCAAAAAAGAAAAGUGCCUUUGUGGCUAGUACAAAAGUUAUUCCACUGUUAUGUGGAACUAUAGGCAAUAGCCAAGAGAAGUAGUGCAACGAGUUCUUUUUUUUUUCAUGGUCAUAGUAUUCAUGGAUUUCGGUUACUAUACUUAAUAUAAGCAUUGAGAGUUUGUAUCA
Long non-coding RNA from Prosopis cineraria, 2194 nucleotides. RefSeq lists it as uncharacterized. The record is from RefSeq and is a predicted model, not a curated record. Lineage: Eukaryota; Viridiplantae; Streptophyta; Magnoliopsida; Fabales; Fabaceae. The transcript has 2 exons.